RNAcentral lists this ribosomal RNA (705 nucleotides) under Roseovarius sp. Its description in RNAcentral is "bacterial SSU rRNA". It matches the Rfam family "Bacterial small subunit ribosomal RNA", at positions 46 to 799 of the family's 1533-position model. Lineage: Bacteria; Pseudomonadati; Pseudomonadota; Alphaproteobacteria; Rhodobacterales; Roseobacteraceae. The record is from RNAcentral.
GCCUACCAUGCAAGUCGAGCGAGAUCUUCGGAUCUAGCGGCGGACGGGUGAGUAACGCGUGGGAACGUACCCUCUUCUGCGGGAUAGCCACUGGAAACGGUGAGUAAUACCGCAUACGCCCUUCGGGGGAAAGAUUUAUCGGAGGAGGAUCGGCCCGCGUUGGAUUAGGUAGUUGGUGGGGUAAUGGCCUACCAAGCCUACGAUCCAUAGCUGGUUUUAGAGGAUGAUCAGCCACACUGGGACUGAGACACGGCCCAGACUCCUACGGGAGGCAGCAGUGGGGAAUCUUAGACAAUGGGCGCAAGCCUGAUCUAGCCAUGCCGCGUGAGUGACGAAGGCCUUAGGGUCGUAAAGCUCUUUCGCCUGUGAUGAUAAUGACAGUAGCAGGUAAAGAAACCCCGGCUAACUCCGUGCCAGCAGCCGCGGUAAUACGGAGGGGGUUAGCGUUGUUCGGAAUUACUGGGCGUAAAGCGCACGUAGGCGGAUUGGAAAGUAUGGGGUGAAAUCCCAGGGCUCAACCCUGGAACGGCCUCAUAAACUUCCAGUCUGGAGUUCGAGAGAGGUGAGUGGAAUUCCGAGUGUAGAGGUGAAAUUCGUAGAUAUUCGGAGGAACACCAGUGGCGAAGGCGGCUCACUGGCUCGAUACUGACGCUGAGGUGCGAAAGUGUGGGGAGCAAACAGGAUUAGAUACCCUGGUAGUCCACA